RNAcentral lists this ribosomal RNA (472 nucleotides) under uncultured bacterium. RNAcentral's name for it is "partial 16S ribosomal RNA". It matches the Rfam family "Bacterial small subunit ribosomal RNA", at positions 28 to 507 of the family's 1533-position model. The record is from RNAcentral.
GACGAACGCUGGCGGCGUGCUUAACACAUGCAAGUCGAACGCUGAAGCUUGGUGCUUGCACUGGGUGGAUGAGUGGCGAACGGGUGAGUAAUACGUGAGUAACCUGCCCUUGACUCUGGGAUAAGCCUGGGAAACUGGGUCUAAUACUGGAUACGACUUGUCACCGCAUGGUGGUGUGUGGAAAGGGUUUUACUGGUUUUGGAUGGGCUCACGGCCUAUCAGCUUGUUGGUGGGGUAAUGGCUCACCAAGGCGACGACGGGUAGCCGGCCUGAGAGGGUGACCGGCCACACUGGGACUGAGACACGGCCCAGACUCCUACGGGAGGCAGCAGUGGGGAAUAUUGCACAAUGGGCGGAAGCCUGAUGCAGCGACGCCGCGUGAGGGAUGACGGCCUUCGGGUUGUAAACCUCUUUCAGCACGGAAGAAGCGAAAGUGACGGUACGUGCAGAAGAAGCGCCGGCUAACUACGUG